CAGGCCUAACACAUGCAAGUCGAACGCAUCCUUCGGGGUGAGUGGCAGACGGGUGAGUAACACGUGGGAACGUGCCCUUCGGUUCGGAAUAACUCAGGGAAACUUGAGCUAAUACCGGAUACGCCCUUAUGGGGAAAGGUUGACCGCCGAAGGAUCGGCCCGCGUCUGAUUAGCUUGUUGGUGGGGUAACGGCCUACCAAGGCGACGAUCAGUAGCUGGUCUGAGAGGAUGAUCAGCCACACUGGGACUGAGACACGGCCCAGACUCCUACGGGAGGCAGCAGUGGGGAAUAUUGGACAAUGGGCGCAAGCCUGAUCCAGCCAUGCCGCGUGAGUGAUGAAGGCCUUAGGGUUGUAAAGCUCUUUUGUCCGGGACGAUAAUGACGGUACCGGAAGAAUAAGCCCCGGCUAACUUCGUGCCAGCAGCCGCGGUAAU
This 435-nucleotide ribosomal RNA is filed under the name uncultured bacterium. Its description in RNAcentral is "bacterial SSU rRNA". It matches the Rfam family "Bacterial small subunit ribosomal RNA", at positions 43 to 524 of the family's 1533-position model. The record is from RNAcentral.